RNAcentral lists this long non-coding RNA (7004 nucleotides) under Homo sapiens (human). RNAcentral's name for it is "HSALNT0339318". Lineage: Eukaryota; Metazoa; Chordata; Mammalia; Primates; Hominidae. The record is from RNAcentral.
UUGCCCGGGGAACUAUCUAGAACUUUUACUGCUGCUUGGAAAAAAGUCACUGUUUCAUACAGCUUUAUUAAUAAAAUUUUUUAAUGCAGAUGACUUUUUAAAUUUUGAACAUGUUCAUCAAAAUUAUUUUGAACAUCUUUAAGUCACGUUUUGAUUGUUUUAUGUAAUCAGACUCUUGAUUAGAAAGAAUAACAGAAGGAACCGUAGAUGCACUCAAACUCCUAAAGUAAUUAUUUACAAGAAAUAAACUUUUUGCACGGUCUAAUGACAUUUUAUACAAUGAAAAUGUAUAAUAUUUUCAAAGUAACAGCAAUAAAAUAAUAAGUAAUGGUCAAAAUAAAUUUCAAAAUAUAAAGCAUAAAUGUCAGAAUCAAUAUUGGUUUUGCCGCAUUAGCUUGAAAAUUUACUGGUGGAAAAAUAGUAAUGGUUAAACACACAGAAAAGAUAAGUCAUAAAUGUCAGCCAGCCCUUAUUAACUGCCUCUGAAGGUACUACAAGGACAGCUUUGGCUGCUCCUAGCCUGCACUUACAGAAAUUGAAUUGCUUUGUGCAUUAACAAAAUGGAACUGGGCUGAACAAUGUCCAUAGAAAUGCUGAAUAGGCAAUUAUUUAAAAUGUUCUCCAAGAUUGAGGAAUAUAUUAACAGAAACCAAUAGCACAGCAAAUUAAAUGAUGAUUGAGCAGAACAUUACCUAAAAUUAGUACAGAAAUAUUUAUAGAAUGAAUGAAUGAAUUAAAUUGACUAUAAUAAAAUAUUGGCCAAGGUAGCGUGAAAAAAAAUUAAAGCAAAUUUAAAGUAAUUUUAUUGUGAACAAUUUCUUUGCAUUAAUUUUGUAAUAUCAGAAUGUUAUAUAGGCUUCUCCAUAAUGGUGUCCACUAAUAAUUUAAAGUUUUUCAAUAGGUGGAUGGUACAUUUUAAAAAAUUAACAACCAAAGUCUUCAUGAGGAACAAGAAAUGAUUUUCUAUUUGUUUCUAUUUGGCUCUCACUAUAGCAACUUAUAUAAUGCUUUGCAUGCAUGAAAUGUUUAAUUUUUAAAUUUAUUUUCUAGAGAUGGGGAUCUGGCUCUGUUGCCCAAGCUGGACCCCAGCUCCUAGCCUCAAGGGAUUCUCCUGCCUCAGCAUCCUGAGUAGUGGAAAAAUUUUAGUAAACAAUGGAUCUUAUUAUCACCAAUAAUUUUAUAAUUAACAUUAGCAUGUACAUGGGAUCUUUAAUACAUCUGGAGUUCAUUUUGAUUGCUCCUCUAAAAACUAAAAGACCAAGAAAAAAAUUCCCUCAAAGUAUUUGUUUCUUCCUCUUCCUAAGACCUGAUGCUUCUGUUAAAAGGCGCAGUUCUCACACCCACCUGCUCCUCCAUGCCUGUUUCUAGUGCAGUCAAGGAAAGUUUACCACAGUGGUACUUUUUAAAGGUAUAUUUUUAUCUUUGCAGCUCUAUCUGGUGUUUUCUCAGCUGCAUAUGUGACUUGCCUGGAAGACAUGGCUGGUAACUCCUAGAAGAAAUCUAAAUUUUAAAGAUGUAAUCAUUAAAAAAUACUUGUCAUUAUAGAUAGGUAGCUUUAUUGUUGUGGCUUUGUUUUUCUGUUUAAAAAAGCUGUUGAUUUUGCCUUUCUAACUUUUUGUGGAUAUACUACUGCCCCUAAAGGAAGAAAAUAUGUUUAAGGGAGACAUCAAAGUUUGUCUGUGUUCUUGUUGUUUUCCCCAAACCAAAAGACCUAAGAGAUUUAAUAAUUAUUAUAUUUGUUACUAUUAAGAUAUCAUUUGUAUGACCUCCUACUAAGUGAAACAAUGUAGUUAUUUAGUGUUUUAGAAUUUAUGUAUUAUUAAUAAGAAAAAGAUUUACUGAAAAUGAAAUAAGAUAUAUUCAUUUAGUCUAUUGCUUACAUAUGUAAGACAUGAGUCAUGAAUGUAUAGGUUUUUUCAUUUGAUCAAUUUCUUUACUAAUUACCUGUUGCUUUUUAAAAAAUAACAUACUCUGGAAAUUUACCAAAGUAGCAAAAUGCUUAAUUUUUAACUUUAUAAUUUUAUAACUACAUAACAUGACAUAUACAUACUUAAUACACUUAAUAUGUAAAAAGUUCUUACCAAUUAAUAAGAAAUGAAAAUGUUACAACUGAAAAAAAAUUAAAAAUAUGAUCAAUAAUUUAAAAACUAUAAUUAUCAAUAAAUACAUGAAGAUGUUCAACUUCAUUAAUGAUUGAACAAAUACAAAUUAAAAUAUGCUUUAUCAUCAGAUUGCAAAUAAUUUUUAAAAAUUCUAAUAAUUAAAAUUAUCCUAUUUAUGGAGAAAUAGGUAUUGGAAUGAGUGUAAAUUUGCAAUACAAAAUUGAUAAUGUAUAUUUAAAGUCCUAAUAAUAAACAUACUUUCUUGUCCCAAUAAUACAAUUUCUACAAAAUCCCUUUAUGGGAAAAAUUAAAUUUUACAGAGAAUUAUGUAAAAAAACACUUCAAUGUUAUUAAAGGGAAACUUGGAGAAAAAAAUAUCCAAUAGUAAGGGAUUAUUAAAUAGCAUAUCAUAGAUCCAUAAAAAGAAAUACUGUUCAGCUAUUAAAUAUAUUUAUAUUUUAUUAUUAUGCAAAGAAACACCUUAGCUUACAGAGCAGCAUAUAUGGUAUAUUUCCAAAAUUAUUUAAAAAUAUACAUUUAUACAGAUAUAUAUUUUCUAAAACUAUGUAUCAUGUGAAUAAAAAGGUUUGUCUUAUAUGUUCUUUUUUAAAAAAGCGUUUAUCAUAAGGAAAUAUCUGAACAUGAUUUAAUGUAUGUUAGCAUUGCUUCUCAGCCUUUUGGCUAAGAUCAAGUGUAAUAUGUUGUUAGCAAGGACACCUAAAUCUAUAUGAGGUUUCCAGAGAAGAAUAUGGUCACUACUGAACAUCUCUUCAUUUAACCAAUCCGAUUUGUGGUCUGUUGUUAAAUUGAAUUCAAACAAGAUAUAUCUCCUUUGAUUUUUAUUUCAUAACAUUUAGCAAAUAUUUUAUUUCAGAUACAAAUGAUAAGAUUUUGCCCAAUCAUCAUUCUUUGACACUGGCUACAAUCACAUGCCUCCAGUAAGCAAAAAUUUGCCCAAAAAUGUGGUAGUCAGAGGCAACUUUGAAAGGCUUAUUUCACACGUUCUUCUAAAAGAAGUUGAGUUGGUGAUACUUUUAUAGAACGUGCAAUUUCAUGAGCCAAUUUCUUUUUUUGCUAUUGAACAAUUCAAGAAGUAUUUUUAAGUUCUCUAUCAGUUUAGCAUCCACUUUUCUUUCAACAUUUUUUGCUGCUUUUAAAUACCUAAACACCUGCUUACACCAUAUAUAUCUGUGAUCAUGAAAAAUUACUGUAUUUCACUGUCGAUGAGUCCAAAGAAAAUAAUUAAACUCUGCCCUAGAAAAAUAAAAGCCAAAGAAAUAAUCCAAUUGAAUUAAUAGCUUGACCCUAAAUAACAGUUUGAGUCCAACAUUUCAUCAAAUAGGAAAAUUAGAAGGAUCUUGACUGAUUGUUUUCCUUUAUUGACAGUAGUAUAUUCAGGAAAAGGUAGAAUAAACCGCCUUUCUUUAAAGAAAAACAAAGCCAGCAGUGGUAAUUUUAAAAAAAACUACCUAUCCUUAAUGACAAGUAUUUUCUAAUCAUUGUUUUUAAAAUUAAUAUGUAUUGAGGAAAAGAAAAUUUUUAAUGUUUUCAACUAUAGUUAUUACACAUAUGCAGAAACAAAGCCUAUACUUAAUUAUAGGACAAUUGAUUGUUCCCAAAGCAUCUGAUUACUCUUUAAUUUAAAAAAAUACAUGUCUAUUUCAGUGAAUCACUAUUUGAAGUACAGAAAUACAAAGUACAGCCUAAACUUGAUAUUACUAUGUCCUCAAAUCACUGUAUCAUCUCUUCCAUGAAAUGAAUGUGACAAUAAUUUGUAUUUGCAAAUUCAUUCUAUUUUGGGAGCUGUUUCUGAAAACCAUCUGUAACCAAAGUAAACAAUAUUUUAAUGGGGGAUUACUGAGCUGGCUGAAUACAUUGUGAUGCAAUCAAAAGUUUUCUGGAAUUUUUCAAACCACAGUUUUAAGCUGCAUUUGAAUAAAACUUAGCUAUUAAGGGGAAAAAUAAUUCAUAAAAAAAUUUUUAGUCUUAAAUAUACUUUCAAUGUAUUUAACCAUCGUAAAUGUGAAGAUAAGAGUAUUGUAAAAAUACAUGAUAUCAGAGAAUUACUUAAAGAAAAAAACAUAUUUAAAUUUUGAGCCGCAUAUUUUUAUAGGUUCUUAGAGUUUGGUGUAGCAAUCCUGUUUUCUGGAGCCAUUUUUGUUCCUUUGUCUACGACUUCUAGCAACAUUUUGCAAGAGUUGAAAGCAGAAAUGUUGAGGUGCCCAUGAGGAUUGUUAUUCAUUACCCUGACCAGCUUUAGGCAGGAGAUAUAAAAACAUAACCAAAAAAGCCACUUUUAUGACAGUAUUUGCAGAUCAAUCCUGCGUAUUCCACGCUUGUAAGAUUUGGAAUGUUUGUAGCUGAAAUUUAUUUUUCUUUCUAGAUUGCUUUUUACUGAAAGAAUGCAACAAAGAGAGCUGCCAAGAAAAUACAGUUAUUCCCCCAAAUAGUUCAAAGAACUAUGCCAGUUACCAUGGACACCACAUGUUGAGAUGCUAAAGAGUCAGAAUGGGUCUGUGAGUGAUUAUCUGGAAUGCUGGACAUGUAGAGUUUGUAUGGAGAGUGAGUACUGCGCUAGACAUGGAACAAAUAGAGACCAAAGACAGCAAGACUGACGGCAGCUCAACGGGGGGAGAUAUAAUUCUUAUUUUUUUCAUCUUCCUUCAGGCACUGUAGAAGUCUCGCAUAUAUGAUCAUUUAAAAUUUCGCUGAAGUCAUGUCUGAAUUCUGCACACUGCCUUAUGGAUGUGGGAGAGGUGACUAAACUGAGUCAACGCAGUCAACCACCCAGGACUUGCAAUUCCAGGGGGUUGCAUCCACCUAACCCUCCGGGGUUCUGGCUUCGGAUAGUGUUUGAUCAAUGGAAGCAACAAAAGAAGAUUGGAGGACAUGAAGACAGGUUACUGGAUGAUAUUCGACAUGAGCUGCAAUCCUCCAUCUGAGGUCCCAACUUUUCCAGAAGGCUUCUGUCCUGUUGCGCUCAUUGGAUUCUGCAUUAUGGGAUUCUCUUGAAGUGUGUGAAGAAUAAUGAGCUAAAUAAAGAGGAAAAACAAAAGAAAACAAAAACUGCAGGGACUUUUAUAACUAUCAUUGAUUGCCAGCUUAAGCCUGCUGGACUCUUCACAAAACUAUAUAUGCUUCAAGCUUAAUAUUUAAUUUUGUAAUUGGAACAUUUAUAAUCAUAUUAUGCAUUUAAUAAGGAUGCUCUAAUUCAGAUUUACUAUUAUCAGGAAAUUAAAUUUGGAGUUACAGUAAUGCAUGCAUAUAUAUGUGUGGGUGUGAGUGUGCAUAUACCUAUAUAUGUAUAUACAUAUAUAAAGUAAACGCCUUCUUUUAACGUGUGUUUUAAGUAUAGCUUCCAUGUCCUAGUUAAUUCAGCACCCUCCCUUUUAUCCUUUCCUUGCCAUUGUCCUCUCUACUAGACUACAAUAAAAACAAAAAACUAUGAAAGUAAGCAGCUUAUAAUCAUAAUUUUAAUCAAUGUAGCCUAUGCAAGCUUUAAGAAACAUACGUCUAACAUCUUAGAAAGAAAGCUUAUGAACACAAACAGCAGAAUACUUAAAUACAUUUGAAACAUUCACAUUGAAUUGAUUCUACAAAAUUUUGAAGAGCAACAGCUUUUGAAUUUAGAGCUAUAAUCAGUACCCUAAAGUUUUUACCACUGAGUUACUACCUAGUAAAAAUAUGUUAUAUUUGCAAUAAAAGUACACAUUGUAAGGACAUAAGAAUUGUCAUCAAGGUACACAAACAUUUUAGAAUUAUUAAACAUUUAAAUAAAUGGAAAUUUUAAAAAUAAAAUAACAAUAUUAUCAUACAAGUUAAUGAUCCAGUUUAUUAAUUUCUAAUUCUAUUGAUAAAACAAGGGAUUAUUUUUGAAAGGGUUUUUCUAUCUUUCAUACAAACCCUUUCCAAAAAUGUAUAGAUACAGUACGGAUUCUACCUGAUCAUUCUUGUGCAUAUGGUGAUGUAAGAAACCAAAAAAAUGUAAAUUAUUUUCAUAACACUGUGAAAACCAAUAUUUAAAAAUACAGUGCACAAUUAGUAGUGAGUAACAUAUAUAAAUUUAGAAAUAUUAUAUUUCUGUACACAAAGUAACAUUAUAAAUGAAAGCUUCAGGAAUAAUGAGCUACUUAUUAUUCCGGAAAUUAUAUAUCAAAAAUUUCAAAUAUAGAGGAAAAUUAAAAACCCACUCAUGACCCAUGAAAAUUAAUAACCCAUUCGAUCAUACACUUACCAUGUAACUUUCUGUUAAUUUGGUAAUAAAUAAUGUCAAGAGAUUUUAAAUGAAAAUACUUAUUCUGAAACAUAAAAACAACAUCUGAGAUGAGCACAAAUGGAUCAAUAGAUACAUUAUUGAUUAUUUUGUAUCAUAAAAUACUAUCUAGUACAACAUUCUUUAAAAAAUUCAAUAUUUUUAUAAUGUAAGUAAAACGGGAAGAACUGUUAGAGAAAUGGGCAUCAGAUUUAGAUUAAUUCUGCCUCUAACGCAAAUUGUAGGCUGAGCCCUAUAUGUUCUUGACCAUUCUAAGUUUUACUACAUUAAAACACAUAAAAUAUUCUGCGAGGUUUUCUCCAAUGGGAUUUUGAAUCUCACUGAUGACUGUGAUUUAGGAGUAAUGUAGAGAGUUUUGCAACUAACUUUACUUUACACCGUUACUCCUUUUCUACUUGGGGGUUCAGUUCAACACGCUAGUAAAAGAAAUAGUCAUGAGAGCAUCCUAAGGAAAGUAGGCAAAAUGUUAGUGCCUCAUUAUAUUUACAAUCUUUACAAAACAUGUAUGUCAGUAAACCAUAUUAACAUCUAAAGCACAUGAUAUGUAGAAACAAAUUGUGACUACAAAAUGUGUCUUGUUUCUUAAAUAUGCUAAAUAGGAAAUAAAUCACAUCUACUUCAAUUUUUAA